GAGAGCGCUAGGGGAUGCAGAGAGCUUCGGAGGCAGAGGCACAAUCUCGACCCCCGGCAGCACGGCUUCCGCGCCUCGUGGCCAGCCCCCUGGCCGCCCUGCUGCUGCUGCUGCUGCCGCCGCCGCCGCCGCAGCCGGCGGAGCGCCAUGACGACGACCAACCAGCGUGCUUCUAAUAAGAAUAAUAAUUUCCUUUGAACAACAAGGCGCCUCUAGUCUAGGCUCUACAUAAUCACUAGUAAUCAGGUUAGUAUGAGUCUAUAUAGUAAUUUAAUAAGAUCCAAAACUGUAAUUGCGCGGCGGCGCUGUGUGUACGUGCAUGUACCCGUGAUGGAGAUGUAAGUGCUGUCAUUUGUGUACCUGUGGGAUGUUCGUAAGCCUGGAGUCUGGAGAUGAAGGCAAAUUAUUGAACUAUAAUCUGUGCCAAUAUAAUCUGUCAAGUUGUUUAUACUCUCCACUCCCACCAUACUACUACUUGGCAAAUAUCGAUGGUGAGUUUGUGAUUCCCAGCCGGCGUGUUGUUUGCUGACGGUGGUGGACGUGGCUUAGCAAAGGAAAAUGAGAAGGGGGAAGGAGCCAGGGGGCAUUUUAGAUAUUUUUCUAGUCAGACCCACACGUCAGGGCUAGCAAACGGUAGAGAAUUCAAACAUAACACGGACGGAAUGACUUAGGAGGCAAAAAAGAAAAAUGUUAUAACACAGAGGUCCGCUCUAAACAGUGGUGGAGCCAGGAUUUAAAACUUGGGUAUUCCCACUUCACUACACCAUGACCUACUUUUCCCUACACUCAUGUGUUGGGAAAACAAGGAUUUUAACAACAUAUAAAGUGUUGGCAAUUGUAUACAUUUUCCGCGUCUCAUAAACUGUCAAUAAUGACUAUGUAAGCCAACACGUAAUGUGUCGGCGUUUCUCCUCCCGACUAAAUAAGUGUCGGCGAAAGUUUUUAGACAAAAUAUGUGUCGUUGUAGCCCAACCAAACGACGGUCUAACUGUCGUCGAAGGAGUAGGCAGGGAACCACAAAUACAACAAUUCGGGUGAGCGGGAAACUACGCGCCAAAACAAGUAAUGCGCGGCAGCUAAAUGUUGAGCCCAAUAAAAAAGGCUGCCUCAGCGACCCAUUAGGCUUGGACUUCCACUCACCGACACCAAGUCACGACUCAGAAAGAAAAAAAAUCGCGACCACGCGCUGGGCGCCGCCACACGCACCAUCCGACCGCCGAGCGCCUACAGGAGGACUCCACCCACCGGAGCGCCGUCACCACGGUCCCCAGCCGGAGCUCUGCCGUCCCCAGCGCCGAAUCCCGCCGUGCUGCUGAGCGCUGCUGCUGAGCCCGCCGCCCCCAAUCCCGCCGUCGCCGUGUCCCCAUUCCCCCAAUAUCUGAGCGUCGUCGCCGUGUCCCCAUUCCCCUCUGAAUCCAGGUGCCUCAUCUCCACUUCCCCUUCCUCUCAUCCCCAUUCUUCUGCGUUCUAGGGUUUUGGCACAUAGCUUAUUGUCUUGUUUUUUUUCUUGGUUGCAGAAAGUACACGAAGGUGAGAAAGGCUAAGACAUUUAAGGUUUGCGUUACUUCUGUUGCCAAUUUGCAUUCAGGCCAGAUCCACCAUCUCUUCCCCUUUCUGGAGAAGGAAUUUAUUCAGCUUGAUUUAGAUAUGAAUAUGUUGUUUAAUGCCUUAAUUGAUUUGCAGAGGAACCAUCUCGAUUCAAGAUCUUGCACACCACACAAUCCAUCAGCUUGCAUGUAUAUUCUUUUAUGCUAUGUCUGCAACUUUUUUUAGUAUGAUGGCAAAGUCCACACUGAUGGGAGUUCAUAGUCACUUUACUUUGGUCCUUUAUGCGAGAAAAAACAUGCUGUGUUUAUUCUAUAUAUAAAAAGUUUGAGAGAAGAAAUCAAUUGAACUUUUAGUUGCAAAUGAAGUAUAAGUUUGUCUCCUCGCUGCACUAUAUCAGUUCUGAGUAUUUCUUUCUUUCUUGUGCAUGUUGCAAAAUAUCCAAUAAGAAAGCACUAAAGGAUUCAAGGCUUCAAUUGUUCUUUCUACCCACCUAUAGCUUUGAAGUAAGUUUGCUUUUGCUCAGGUUUUUGACUUAUUUGUAUUGCCUUGUGAUUAAAUAGUGUUGGCAAUAUUAUCUACAGGGAGCACGGGCAAGUUGCCCUUCUAGUCUUCAUCUGAUCUUCUAUUGUCAUUGCUUUAUUGGUAUGCUCUCCUUUUCUUAUGAACUCUAUCUCUUCAUUUGCUAUAGAAUUGCAGGUUAUGUGUUCUGUGAUGCCAUGUUUUUGGUUUCUUAAAACUAGACUAAAUUUCCCCUAUAGUUCAUGUUGAUGUCAUGUGGUGAGAUGAUUUUUUUAGCACUAAGUGUGGUGAAAUUGAUUUGAUUUGGACAAUUAUUUGGCAAGAUUUUCAUAUGUUUUUGGUUGAACAAUCCAAUUUGAAAUGAGAAAUGUUGUGUAUAUGUUUCACUAAUUGACACUUCAUUUUGUAAAAGGUGCAUCAUGGAUAAAACAUGGAUGGAUCAACCUAGGUACAUUAUAAAUCUAUAACCAUAUACUAGAAUCUGCGUGCAUAGGGUGUUUGGACUGAUUUCUUGAUAAUCAUGUGUAGGCAAACACUUGUGUAUAGAGAAGGAGUGGAUAUGUUUUUAGACUUUGCCUUUAGUAAUUCUGCAAAAGGAAAUCAGAUUUUAUGUCCCUGCAAGGCAUGCAAGAACUCUUGUUGGAGGGUCCGUAGUAUUGUACUUGAGCACUUGAUAUGUGAGGGAUUUACGGAAGGAUAUAUAACAUGGGUGAAUCAUGGUGAACCUAGUUCUAGUUUUUCCAUGAAUAGCAGACAACAUGAAAGGGUAGAAGUAGGGGACCCAAAUGAAGAGGAUGAUAUUUCUGGUUUACUUGAAGACAUAGCAAUGGGUUUAGAUGUCGAGGGGGAUUUAGAAGAGAACAACACUAAGCAACAUGAUGAGGAUGUGGAGGCUUUUUAUAAAAUGGUAGAAGAUGCUGGCAAGGAACUAUAUCCAGGUUCCGAGUUCUCGAAGCUACGUUUCAUUGUAAGGUUACUCCAUAUCAAGUUUGUUGGGCGAUGGAAUAACAAAAGCUUCGACAUGCUACUAGAGUUAUUUAAGGAUGUCUUACCUGAAGAGUCAUCAAUUCCUAAAAACUUUAAUGCAGCUAAAAAAAUGGCAAAAGGUGUAGGACUUCGGUACGUCAAAAUUCAUGCAUGUGAGAAUGACUGCAUACUGUUUUGGAAAGACCAUGCGACCAAAAAUGUUUGUCCAACAUGUAAAACCUCAAGAUGGAAAUCAGAAAAGAGUAGUCCUAGUGGAAAACGUGUGUAUAGGGUUCCUAGGAAAGUUCUACGUUACUUUCCUAUAAAGAAAAGGCUGCAAUGGUACUUUAUGUGCUAAAAAACAGCAAGUGACACAAGGUGGCAUGAUGAAGGGCGCACUAAAGAUGGUGUGCUGAGGCAUCCUGCUGAUGCUCCUUUUUGGAAAGAUUUUGACUCUAAGCAUCCAGUGUUUUCCUCAGAGAGUCGAAAUCUUUUUUUUAAAGAGAAUUAACUCUGCUUUUAAGAAAGCACAACGUAACAGGUUCGCUGGGGUUACCAGCCACAGUACAAAACAAGACUAACUCAGCCCACAACUCGGAAGGAAAGGACAACAGUUUUUACAACUAAAACAGAGCUGCUAAAUUUCGACGACAUCCGUAGCAGUGGAGGACUUGGGUUGGAAGUUCUUCAGCCAGCUUCUAAUUGCCUCCAGAACCUGCCACACGCGCUCCUUGUCCUCUUCCUUCAAAAGGAUACUCCAUCUCUGCAAGAAUGAUAUCGCCACAUAUAUCACAUCAGUUGGCAUUUUAACAAAGACCCUCUCAAUUGCCAUCUUGUUUCGCGUAAUCCAUAACGCCCAGGCAAAACCCGCGAAGAAAAACAUCAUCAACCGCUUAGGUAAAGGCCCCGUGCCAUAUAACCACGUCAUAGACAUAUCUUCUAUGGACCUAGGAACAGAAUCUAGUUCAAAGAUAUCCUGUAGAAUCCCCCAAACUAACCGAGCCAAGUGACAACCAAAAAACAAAUGGUUAAUGGUUUCAACAAUGUCACAAAUAUAGCAAUUUAUAUCACCCUUCCAACCUCUCUUUAUGAGAUUACCAGCCACCUGGAGUUUAUUAUGGAAAAUUUGCCAAAGGAAAAACUUGAUUUUCAAAGGAAUUUUGCAUUUCCAAAUAACUCCAGCAACUCUACUAGGCAUACCUCGAUCUGUUUGGAACCUAUAAAGAGAUUUCGUAGAGUACUGUCCCUUUGUCUCUAAAGCCCAGGACACCACAUCAGAAUCUUGGGUCUCCAAGCAAACCCCCGGUAAAGAGUUAGUAAGAUCUACCCAAUUGAUAUACUCUUCUGUGGUUAAGGCACGCCUAAAAUCCAUAACCCAAUCCCCUUCAUCCCAGCAAUCUGAGACAGAACAGCCAGGAUCUCUCACCAUCCUGAAAAGAUGUUCAUGGCUAACAGCAAGUGGAACCUCCCCGGCCCAGCAAUCUUCCCAGAACUUGCAAUGAUUCCCAUUUCUUACCUUAAAAACAGCACCCCAUUUAAAGAGAUUUUUCACCUUAUGUAGUCCUUGCCAGAAUUGGGAGACCCUUUUUGUCUUAGAUUUAAAGAAACCCCCUUCACCCAUAUACUUAGCUUUGACAAUUUUGAACCAAAGAUCCUCGGGUUCCUGAAAAAUCUUCCAGAUCCACUUAACUAAUAGGCAGUCAUUCAUAAUUCUAGUAUUUAUAAUCCCGAGACCUCCUUGGUCCUUAGGUCUACACACCAUUUCCCAUUUGGCCAUGUGGUAUUUAAAUUUGUCCUCGGCUCCUUGCCAAAGGAAUUUAGCCCUAAUGCUAUCCAUUUUCUUGUGAAUCCCAUCCAUGAGCCAGUAGAAGCCCAUACAAUAAAGAGGGAUACUGCUUAGACAGGAAUUAGUUAAAAUCUGUUUCCCCCCAGAUGUCAAAAAUUUCCCUUUCCAGGGAUCAAGUUUGGACAUCAUCUUUUGUGGAAGAAAGCUGAAGGCCCCCAUGGCUAAGUAGUGAUCACUGAUAGGAAUCCCUAAAUAUUUCAUAGGAAGUUCCCCCAGAACACAAUUUAACAUAUUGGCCAUUUCUUCUUUAUCUCCUUGAGAAACUCCAAACCCAUACACCUCACUCUUGUGGUAAUUGAUUUUUAGGCCAGUCAACCAUUCAAAGCAGUACAAAAUUAAUUUCAGGUUAGUAAUAGAAGUAACAGACCCAUCAAUCAUGAUUACUGUGUCAUCUGCGUACUGGAUAUGAGUAAUGCCCCCUGGGAUUAAGUGCUCAAGGACUCCUCGGAUGUGACCCUUUUUUGAAGCCUUAUCAAGAAACACUCCUAAGACAUUAGCUACCAAGUUGAACAGAAGAGGAGAUAGGGGGUCCCCUUGUCUUAAACCUCUGAAAGUUUUAAAAUAGGGACUCCUUUCCCCAUUAACAUUGAUGCAAACCUUCCCAUCUUUCACUGUACUCAUAACCCAGGAAAUCCAAAGAGCCGGAAAUCCUUGACCCACCAUAACCUGUUCUAAAAAACUCCAUCUCACUCUAUCAUAAGCCUUUUCAAAAUCCAGCUUUAAGAUAAGACCUUUUCCCUUAGAAUGAUGCAGUUCAUGAAUCACCUCAUGUAAAACCACUACACCAUCUAAAAUAUUCCUCCCUUUUAUGAACCCAGUUUGAUUCUUACUAAUUAUAUUUCUAGCCACCGGCACUAAUCUGUUAGUCAGGGCUUUAGUAAAGCAUUUGAAGUCAACAUUCAGAAGGCAAAUAGGUCUAAACUGUUUGACAUUAUUAGCUUCUUUAAGUUUGGGAACCAAAGUAAUCACCCCAUAGUUAAGUCUUUUGAUAUCUAACUUUCCUUCAAAAAAAUCCGAGAACAUCAAUCUCAUUUCAUCUUUUAUAUGGUCCCAAAACUUCUUAAAGAACACUACCCCAUAACCAUUAGGGCCAGGAGCAGAAUUUUCUUUCAUUUCCAUGACCACCUCUUUAAUCUCCUCCAUGGAGAAAGGUCUGAUUAGCUCUUCUCCUUCCAAAUGGGACACUUUCAUUUCCUCGGGCCAAAACUCAGAGUUGAGGAACAUGCUACAAGACUCAUUAUGUCCAAAAAGCUCCUUGUAAAAAUCCACAAUGUGGGCAGAGAUGGCACCUUGCCCUCUAAUCUCCUCACUACCAUUUUCCAGAGAGAUGAUUGUUUUCUUCCUCCUUCUGCCAUUAACAAGAUGAAAUGAACUUACAGUAUUUCAGAGAGUCGAAAUCUUAGACUAGCUGUAGCUAGUGACGGCUUUAAUCCUUUUAGGACCAUGAAAUCAACUUACAGUAUUUGGCCAGUUAUUCUGAUCCCAUACAACCUUCCACCUUGGAAGUGUAUGAAGCAAUCAAAUUUCAUUCUAUCCUUGUUGAUCCCUGGACCUAAGGCACCUUGUGGUGAUAUGGAUGUCUUUCUUGAGCCACUAGUGGAUGAUAUGGUAGAAAUGUUUGUUGUUGGUGUAAAAACAUAUGAUGCUUCAAAGCAUGAAACCUUCCAACUGCGUGCUGCCAUAGUUUGCACCAUAUCUGAUUUUCGAGGCCUAGGCUAUUUGCCGGCAUGUGUCACUUCUGCCAAAGUUGCUUGUCCUGAAUGCCACUUAGAUACAUGUUCUUUCCAGUUGAAAAAGGGAGGCAAGUGUGUCUACAUGGGCCAUCGCAGAUUUUUAGAUGCCAAACACAAAUUUCGGUUUGAUGCAGAUUCAUUUGAUGGUACCACAGAACUUAGGCCAGCACCUAGACCUCUUAGUGGAGAGGAAAUAUUGGAGUUGACAGCAAAUAUAUGCCCAACCUUUGGAAAGGACCCAAUAACCAAGAAGCCAGCCAAGUGUCAGUGCAAUCCAACUACAGAGGGGCCAUCCAAGCAAAAACGUAGGAAAGUUGAUGAGCCACCAACUGUUUGGAAAAGGAAAUCCAUUUGGUUUAAGUUGCCAUAUUGGAAAGACCUACUUCUACGACAUAAUUUUGAUGUUAUGCACAUAGAAAAGAAUGUAUGUCAGAAUAUUAUUGACACACUUUUGGACACUGAUGGAAAAUCCAAGGAUAACUUAAAUGCUCGCUUGGACAUCCAGGAACUUGGUAUUAGAAGUGAUCUUCAUCCUGUUAGUGUAGAAGAUGAUUUCUAUUUACCUCCAGCACAAUUUACAAUGAGUCUUGAGGCUAGGGAAGCAUUUUGCCAAGUAUUGAAGGAAGUGAAGUUUCCAGAUGGUUAUGCUUCUGAUAUGCGCCGUAAUGUGCAAGUUAGGGAGAAGAAGUUAAUUGGAUUAAAGAGCCAUGACAACCACGUAUUGUUGCAGGACUUACUUCCCAUCGCUGUUCGGAAUAAAUUGCCAGAAAGAGUUAGUGCAACACUAAUUCGUGUGAGCAAUUUCUUCAAGAAGAUCUACUCACCCACUAUCUGUAUCAAUGAUGCAAAAACUAGAGGCUGAAAUAGCCAAGACACUAAGUGUCCUUGAGACCAUAUUUCUGCCAUCUUUUUUUGAUAUCAUGGUACAUUUGCUGGUGCAUCUGCCAGCUCAAGCAAGACUUGCUGGUCCUGUACACUAUCGUAGCAUGUGGGCAGUAGAGAGGUACCAAACUAUUUCCAAUUGCUAUUAAACAUAUUUGUAGUUAGAUUCCACACUAAAAUGGUUACUUCAUAGGUAUUUGAUGAGGUUGAAGGGCUCUGUCCGUACUAGAAGUCAUCCAGAGGGAUCAAUUUGUGAGGCGUACAAGUUUGAUGAGAGUCUUACUUUCUGCUCCAAAUUUUUGAAAGGAUAUGAGACUGGACAAGCAGAAAAUGGUGAAAGGAUGGACUGUGAAAUUUGCACUACACCAUUCUUUCAAAGCACGGGACAAGCUUUGAGUGGCAAGUGCACUGUAUCAUUAGAAUACAAGACUUGGGUUCAAGCAUAUAGAUAUGUAUUGUUCAAUUAUGAUAAGAUAGAGCCGUACUUGAAGUAAGCAACCCACACGACUUCACACACAUUGCAUUUCUCGUCUUAUUAUGUAAACAUUUCUCAAUGAGUACCACACCUUUGCAGCAAACAUUUGGAGUACCUUUCCUCAAUUGGUCGCCACAAUCAGCGACAAAUGACUCGUAUCCAUCAUGAAACUUUUCAUGAUUGGUUUAGAAAGCAUGUAAGUAAAUGUGUGAUUAACAUGCUCUGUUCAGAUCUAAUACACUUAAAUUAACUAGACAUAAUAUGAUAUAUUUACAGGUGGAAGGGUUAGUUGAAAGUGGUGCAGAAGUAUCGGAAGAGAUACAAAUUUUGGCAAAUGAACCUUUCAUGAUUGCAACAACUUACAAUAGCUAUGCAAUUAAUGGAUUUAAAUUCCAUACAUCCUCCUAUGAUGAGGGUAGACCUAUUCAAGGCAGUGGAAUAGCUUUGAUUGCCCAGACCUCUUGCUUUGAAAAUGGAAACAAUGUGGAACCAGUUAUGAGAAACAAGAUAUACUAUGGCAUAAUCAAAGAAAUUAUUGAGUUAAAUUAUCGCAACAAAGGAAAUAUAGUUUUAUUUAAAUGUGAUUGGGUGGACAAUCACAUUCAAGACAAAUGGGUAAAAAAAGAUCAAUUUGGGGUUACAAGUGUUUAUUUCAAGCAUUUUUGUUCAAUACUGGAGAAAAAAUGUUAGAUGAGCCUUUUAUUUUAGCAUCACAAGUUGUACAGGUUUACUAUGUUAAGGAAGGCCCAGAAUCAGAUUGGCAUGCUGUUGCCCAGUCAAAACCAUGUGGUCUUUAUGAUAUGGGGGAUGAUAACGAAAUACGUAACCCAAUGCCUGAUUUGGAUACAAAUGUGGAUCUUAGUGGUCUUUUUGGAGAUGUUGUACAUGUAAGAACUGAUAUAGAUGGGGUCAUUGUUGCUGAAAGAAAGAGAAAGUAAGUCUCAAACGCCAUCAAUUGUUGCUGGUCCUAUGCAGAUUUUCCUUUGACAUUGUUGUUGUUUGUCUAAACUAAUUGUUUUUUUGACAACCAGUCUGUUGUUGAUUCCUUAGAUAUUUGCACUAUUACAUGAGAAUCCUGUACUAAUUCAUUUUUUAGGAGAAACAAUGCCAAAAGCAGGGGGAAAAAGAAAAGUUGUGGACCGAACUGAUUGUGAGAAUGACAUGGAGCCAACUGUUUAUGAAUUGGAAAGGGAUGAAAACAUCAGGUUAAGGAUACAGAAAAUGCAAGAACUGAAUAUCAUGCCUACUACACAAGAACUUAAUGCCAUGCACCAAACAAAGAGAACAAAAAAGGUAUGCAUUCCCAUGAAUCUAAAAUGUUCUCAAACAAUUAUAUGAUCUGAAAUAAUUGUGUCCCAAAAUGUAGCCCCGAGGUCCACCUGAGGAAACAGCAACUGGACGUAACUUACGAUCUAGCUCUAGAGUAAGUGCGCCGCAGGUUGAUAUCCAGGCUACGAAUGAGCAUCCUGAGAAUCAACUUAAUGAAGGUAUUUGUCUCUUGUGACAACUCAUAAUGCAAUGCAUCAUGCUUACUUUAGUUGGGUGUAAUAUGCUAUAUUGUUUUUCCAGUUGUUCCAGAAGAGCCCAAAAAAAAUGUUCGAGGACCUACUACGAAGGCUGAUAUCUAUGCAAGGCAAAAUAAAUCUAAACUCCAAUUGGAUGUCAAUAUGAAUGGUCAGCCCUGUGGACCAUCAGGCACUAAAUUUGCUAACUUCAUUGGAACACUUGUGAGAACAAAGGGUUUCCCAAUUGCACAUGAUGAUUGGAGGAAGGUCUGUCCACGCCAAAAGUAUAAGCUUUGGACAGAUGCAAAGGUACUAAAAUUGGUUGCAAAUUAUGUUCUGUAUUAAUGUGAUUGGGUCCUAAUUUACUAUUUGUGUGUUUGUACAGCUAUAUUGGCAACUAGACAGAGGUGUCUUCCAUUGGUUCAUGAGGACUGCAGCUACAAAGUGGAAGGAGUUUAAAGCAGAAUUGAAAAAGGUGUAUGAUGAUGACAUGGAAGAUGAUGAAUUGCAUGCUCUCUGUGAUCCUAGAGUUCAUAUGGAUGACUGGAAGUGGCUAGUUAAUCAUUGGAGGACUCCAGAGGCAGCUGUAAGUUACAAAUUGCCAUGCUCAUUUUCAUAAUGUAUAUGGCGGAGAAACAAAUUGCUUGAUAAACAUGACAUAAUUUGGUAGGCCCGUUCUUUGAGGGGGAAAGCAAAUCGUUCAAAGCUGACCCAAAACCAUACAACUGGAAGUAAGAGCCAUGCACGUAUUGGUACUGAAAUGGUAUGUAAUGUCUACUUGUAGUUUGUUUUCCCUUUAUUCGUAUCCUGUGACUCCAAUAACAUACAUAUGGUUUAGGGUGAGGAGCUAGGGCGCCCCCAUCGUAGAGAUGAAUUGUUUAUCAAAACUCACACACACAAGAAUGGAGUACCUCAUAAAGAAGCUGCAACAACAAUUGUAAGUGUGAUAAACAAUUGUAAGUCUGAUAAACACAAUAAUUUCUCAUGCCAUCAUAUUUUGCUAAUUUUUUUAUUUCCUGCAGAAUGCCCUUCAAGAUGCAAUUAGAGAUAAACCUGAAUUGAGAGACAAGAGUAUCCAGGAAGGUGAUGCUUAUUCCUAUGUUUGUGGGGCAGAGAGGAAUGGAUAUGUUCGUGUUGUGGGUUUGGGGCCAAGUCCAGCAGAUUUGGACAUGCCUGGAGCUAGGAAAUGCCUAUCAACAAGGCUUCAAAUGGAGAUAGAAGCUCGUCGAGAAUCUGAUAGGAAAGUGGAAGAUCUAUCAAGUCGUCUAGAAAUUAUUCAGCAAACUCUAGAUAGAUUGAUGCAGCAGCAAAAUGCCAAUAGCACUCCCCAUGGAUCUAAUAGUGCACAACAGGUGGCAAUUGUUAACCUAUAUUUCUUACUAUUUUCUUUGUCAGUGCAAUAGCUGUUCAAUGGUAUUUACUUUGAUUUAGAACUUGAGGGCUACACCAACCUAUCAUGAUGAAGUACACGAAGAAGAUGAAGAACAAGAUGCUAGAUCAUAUGCAGGGGAUGAUAUGGCUGAUAUGAACAUAGAAGAGGAUGGCUUUGUCAGUAGACGAGUGGUCCGCCAAGAGGAGCAACAUAGUGAGGUAAUUUUCUUGUUCUGAAAUCCAGCAGGAUAGAUCAUAUAUUAGCACUAGCCAUAUCUCUAGAUAAUUAUAUAUUAAGGCCACGAAGAGAGCACUUUGUUUUCUUUCUUUCUUUUUUGGUUGAGCUCAGCUUGUUUUGAAAUCAGCAGGAUGGAAAUAGAGAUUUUUAUCAACUGUGUUAUCAUCUUGUUAGCUUUGUUCUGAAAUCAGCUUUUUAUCAACUAUGUUAUCAGCUUGUUCUGAAAUCAGGAUCAAAUCUGCAGCAAUAGAGAUUUUUACAAUCAGUUUUUAUGGUGUUCUGAAUUUUUUUUGAUGCUUUAGGGUGGCAGAGAUGUGAUACUAUAUAAUAUAGUAAGGCCCUAUGAAGUCCCUGUGGCAAAGGCUACCAUUCAAACAAAAAACCCAAGGGCUAUUGUUGGGGGUACUGCUCUUGGCGUGGAGUACUGUGAAGUUGUUGUGAACCAUGUGUUUAACCGGAAUGCAAUACUACCUCGUCCAUAUGAAGGGGUCACCACCAUUCUAGAGGCUCGUGGGAGAUGUAUUGCAUGGCCACAUGACAGAGUAAUGGCCUAACCUCUCUAUAUUCUUUAAAAAAUGAUCAUUAUAUUUUGAUUAGUAAUAUAUUUGUUUUCUACUAGAUGAGGGAUGACAAGUCACCUCGGCACUCAAAAGGUGGUGGCACUGGAAGGACAUCACAACUUGAAGGUAUUUUACUUGAACAUUUUGACUUAUAUAUUUGGUGCUUGUUGCAAAUGGUGCUUGUUGUUGCAAUAUGAAAGCUUUUGAGCUGUUCCUUCUAAUCUUCUAUAUACACUGAGGUGCUGAUUCAGUAAGUUUAGUAGACACUCAAGCUAUAACUACUUUAUAUAGAAAUAGUAUCAGGUUGCUGCAGCUGCUCUUGCUCCAUUGAAAUCUUUAUUUGCUGCCAAUUUUUAAGCUGUUGGUACCUAAGCUUGUUGCUUGUAGCAUAGCUGUCCACUGUACAGUAAUACUAUUUCACUAUUUGGACCUAAUAACAAAGAAGAAGUUAAUGAUAUAGAGCAUAUUUCACUGAUAUUUCUCCUUCUUUUUCAUGUUAGGUACUUAAGCUAUGUGGUGUUGAAAAUAUUUUGGACUGGGCAACCUUUUGAGCUUUGAUCAGAGAGCUGUUACAUGUUCUCUAGAAUGGCAGCAACCAUAUGUGCACCAAGUUGGUGUCCAAGUAUUUUGGAGUGGCAACAAGUGUCCGAGAAAUGCAAAUGUUGCAGGAAGACAUGAAUUGCAGUUCUGUUCUUUUGUUUACACCUACUAGGCUACUAUCGUGUAGGCCAAAAACAUAUGGAAGUGUUGAAUGCCACUUUUGCGCCCAAGUCAUGAUCUAUUGAUCUCUUAGCUUUAGCCAUAACCAGUUAGUAUAUAAGACUUAGUAUAUGCUUAUGUAUUGUUGCAUAUACUAUGAUCAUCACUUGACUUGUUAUGUAUGGUCAUCACUGGACCUAUAUAUGUAUGCCUCUAUGUACCAUGAUCAGCAAUGGCUAAACAUUGGAAUUUGUUUACUAAUUUUAGCUAAGCUCUUGGAUUGCAGUUUUGAUUUCAUUCUGAUCGCUAAUUUCUUUAAACUGUUAUGGUUAGCUCACACUUAAUUACUAUAAUUUUCUCUUAUGUAUACUAUUUGAAUCUCCAAAAAAAAUCAAAUUGGAAUUACUCGGGGCGGUGAAUCAAAAAGCAACAAUGAGGACAUUUUCACAACUUGUAUACUCCCUCUGUAUAGGAAUUAGACGUCGUUUUGGGCAAGGUUUGAGUCAAACAUUAGAAAUAUAAAUCAUCAAUAACUUUUAAAUUGUUGAGUUCGCAAAUGUAAAAAUUAUAUAAAUAUAUUUGUCUUAAACAUACUUUUAUAAAAGUAUACAUAUAUCAUUUUUUCUAAAUAUUUUUAAAAAAAUAAGAGAUCAAAUUUCUGCUUUGGAGACCAUAUCGCUAUCCUUAACGAGAUCUAAAUUCUAUACGUAGGGAAUAUGUAUCAAAGUCCUGCGAUAUAGAAUCUUAUAUAUAUGUUGUAAAAUAAAGAAAUAUUUCCACAAUUCAAAUUGAAAGUCCUACAAUAGAUUCUUGUACUCAGACAACAGUUCCAUGUGCGUCCAUCUUUCGGGACUCACCUCUCUCCCCAAGCAUCUAGGGCCACAAAAGAGGAAAAUGAUUCUCACAUGCCUCUCAGUAAGUGUAUUUGCUCUUAUCUUCCUUAUGCCAUGGUGACUGCUCUUCCCAUCUUAAAAUAAAGAAAGUUGCUAUAGUAUAUUUCAAGUGUCUGAUUUCUUUAGAAAAUUUUAGACAAUAAUCUUACACAAUCAAUUGAAAUAAUUAAAAGAAUAAGUCAUAAGCAUAUUUUUAACUAGGAGAAUUCUCCGCGCGUUGCCGCGGAUAUGAAGGAUGAAUAUAAAUAGGUCAGAAUGUUAACUAAUAAGAAUUAGAAAAUUAAAUGUAUAUAAAUGGAGUUGGUAACACAGAAACAUGAUAUAUAAUAUAAGAGAAAGCGGAUGUUGUGAUCCGUGGAGUAUAUAUAUAUACAUGCGAGGAGUGGUGUCGUUGCAGUAAACAGCUAGCUGCAGCUUGGCGUUAGAAGCCUAUUUGUUCAGGUACUCGAUGGCGAUGGUGGCAUGGAGCCUGGCCUCGUCCAUGUCGAGGUGCAGCGAGUCACGAGUGCACAUGAUAGAUAUUCUCUAACUUGGUGUGCUGUCUUGUUGAUGCAGAUGCUGAAGAAAGCCAUCGGGAUUCUAUGAGUAGAAGCCGAAGUCCCAGCUGCCAUGAAAUGGGGGCACAACCUCGUUGUUUAUGGAUCUCCUCCUCCAUGCAGUCACGGCUCUCAUACACUAUCCCAUGGCAGCCUGCCCUUCUAUCAGCUGCCAAUAGAAGCUUCGCGCCACUCCGAUGAAGGUCAUGGACACCACCUGCAAGUGCAAGUAAGAAGAUGCCAUGCAUUACAAUUCGAUCAAUCUGUUGUGCUAUAUAUACUCGAAAGUCGAAACUGUUGCCACCAGCACAUCUCCUUCAAGUCUAUGGUCAUAUAUAUAUAUAUAUAUAUAUAUAUAUAUAUAUGACCAUAGACUUGAAGGAGAUGUGCUGGUGGCAACAGUUUCGACUUUCGAGUAAUUGCAUUUGUGGUGGGCCGACGAAACAGCAGGGAUUGGAGACGAACUACUACUCGUCAUGACGCAUGCGGCCAUGCAGAAGUGGACGACGAACGGAUGCAACUUGCAAGAGAGUUGAAAGUUAAUGCUACUUAGUGGGUGUUAAUUGGAAGACGAAAUACUACUAUAUUGCGUGCAUGAACUUGGAAGACGUACUACUACUACGCAUGCAAGCACAUGAUUAGAUGGUGUUAAUUGAAAGGGAUAAGUGGAUGACGUGGCGCAAGGAGGUGCUAGAGAAUUAGGUUAGUGAGGUUUAUCUUUAUAGGAGAUAUAGAUAGCCAAAGAAUAAUGAAAUUACAUGUUACCGAACAACAACAACGGAAAACCAAGCAUAUGAAAUAUAAGAGAAGUGCUAGAUAAGUACAUAUCUCUAUAUUUAGGAGUCAAACAACCUUAAAACUCCUUAAGUUUGCAAAUAGAUAUAAAAAAAAUACUAAUAUUUAGGAUGCCAAAUAAGCAUUAUUAGAUUAAUUACACUACAUAUGUUUACAGUAAGCCUAUUUAGAUAUACCAAUGUUGAUAUUAUUUUUCUAUAAAUUUAGUUUUUUUAUUUGGUUGAUUCCUUAAAUUUUUUUUUUUUUGUUUCUAGAGACGCCCCUCAUUGCCCCAUCCUCCACCUCCCCUCGACAGACGAGCUUUCUUCACGUUCCUCGUGGGAUGGGCCAAAUGACCCAAGUCAGUCUAAAGUUGAGUUAAAAAAAGUGCAGCCCAAAGUUUUUUUUUUUAAAAAAAAUAUCUCCAAUUCAGCCCAAAGUUGGGGAGUAAAACCCUAGAUCUUCUGUCCCGGAAAAUACAUACUUCCAGUUCCAGUAUCCAAAGUUCCAAACCCCGUAUUCGCAGCCGAGCGGAGCCGCUGCUCCCAACCUCUUCAAAUCAAGUCCCAUCUCUUAUCAAAAAAUCAAAUCCAAUUUCUGGACCUUCUAUGUGAUUUUGUCUAUACAUGCCCUAAGAUGUUUUAUUGGAUAAGACUUUUUUUUCAUUGCCGUUAGAUUUUUUUUUAUAUUCCUAUUUCUCAAUGAUUGCUAAUACAAUUAAAAAAAUAUCGAUAGCGUAAACCCUGGUGCUAGUCUGCAGCUAGUCACGCCACCAGGAUGGACCGAUGGGGGAUGACAACAACAACAGCGUCGCUCUCCUUGACCAGCUGGAAGCAAGCGGCGCACCUGCAUAUCUAGGGCUUGUUUAGUUCCGAAAAUUUUUUGGUUUUCGAAACUGUAUCACUUUUGUUUUUAUUUGAUAAAUAUUAUCCAAUUAUGAAGUAGCUAGGUUUAAAAGAUUCAUCUUAUGAUUUACAGGUAAACUGUGUAAUUAAUUUUUUUCAUCUAUAUUUAUUGUUUCAUACAUUUGCCGCAAGAUUUGAUGUGACGGUGAAUCUUAAAAAGUUUUUGGUUUUUGGAUAAACUAAACAAGGCCCUAGCCAAAGAGAGGGGGGGGGGGGCGGGGAUGGAAAAUAAGUGCUGUUGAUUAGUGGUUGACUCAGGGUCCACGCCUUGGCGAAGAUCCGAAGGGCAGGCCAGGGCAGGGCGGGCUCAUCAGUCCUCUGUGUUCUCUGUAUAAAAGUGCAGUGAGUGUGCGCAUCAUUCCGCAGAGCUGAGGCCAUAGCGACAAGUUGUAGCAGAGGAAAUCGAUCAGGAAGAGAUCGAGAAGAUGGGGAGGCAGCAGCUUUGCAUGGUGUUCCUGAUGGCGUUCCUCGUCGUCUCUACCAUGGACGUUGUCCACGUGGCCGCAGGUAUGUACGUACGUAGGUGCACCUUGUAUGCUUCCCUCUAGCCACACACACACAAUAGCAGCAGACGUUCUACGGCGAUACGAUUCAGUUGUGAAGCUACACGCAUGUUAGUUACGUCGCAUGACAAUUGACAUGCAUGUGCAGGUAGAGCUAGCUAGGGCUAACUGGCUGCUUUUGUGUGGUGCGUACAGGGAGAGGGCUAGGGGAGGGGAGCUAUGGAGCCUUGAUCCCCGGCGGCACGCCUUCCGUGCCUCGUGGCCAGCCAUACACUGGCCGAACAUGCACAAAAAUCUACGCGUGUAAACCGCCUGCUGCUGCUGACGCUGACGCCGCCGGCGGAGCGCCAUGACGACGAUCAGCAUGCUUGGCCUGUUUAGAUUGGGGCUGAAAAUUUUUUGGGUGUCACAUCGAAUGUGUGGGAAGGAUGUCGGGAGGGAUUUUUAGAAACUAAUAAAAAAAUAAAUUACAUAGCUCGUCAGGAAACUGCAAGACAAAUUUAUUAAGCAUAAUUAAUCUGUCAUUAGCAUAUGUGGGUUACUGUAGCACUUAAGGCUAAUCAUGGAGUAACUAGGCUUAAAAGAUUCGUCUCGCGAUUCUCAACUAAACUGUGUAAUUAGUUUAUUUUUUUAUCUACAUUUAAUGUUCCAUGCAUGUGUCCAAAGAUUCGAUGGGAUGGAUGAAAAAAUUUUUGGUGGGGAACUAAACAGGGCCUAAGAAUAAUAAUUUCCUUUGAACAACAAGGCGCCUCUAGUCUAGGCUCUACAUAAUCACUAGUAGUAAUCAGGUUAGUAUGAGUCUAUAUAAUAAUUUAAUAAGAUCCAAACUGUAAUUGGGCGGAGGCGCUGUGUGUGCAUGUACCCGUGAUGGAGAUGUAAGUGGGAUGUUCGUAAGCCUGGAGUCUUGAGAUGAAGGCAAAUUAUUGAACUAUUCUGUGCCAAGUUGUUUAUACUCUCCACUCCCACCAUACUACUACUAGUGGUAUGCCCAUGCUAACGUCACGGAAAAAGUUAAAAAGACAAUAGGUUUCUAUAAAAUAAGAAUAUAUAUAGCACAAAAAUAAAAG
RNAcentral lists this long non-coding RNA (17020 nucleotides) under Sorghum bicolor (sorghum). Its description in RNAcentral is "long non-coding RNA (SBIC_LNC001362)". Lineage: Eukaryota; Viridiplantae; Streptophyta; Magnoliopsida; Poales; Poaceae. The record is from RNAcentral.